UACGGAGGAUCCGAGCGUUAUCCGGAAUUAUUGGGCGUAAAGAGCGCGCAGGUGGUUGAUUAAGUCUGAUGUGAAAGCCCACGGCUUAACCGUGGAGGGUCAUUGGAAACUGGUCGACUUGAGUGCAGAAGAGGGAAGUGGAAUUCCAUGUGUAGCGGUGAAAUGCGUAGAGAUAUGGAGGAACACCAGUGGCGAAGGCGGCUUCCUGGUCUGUAACUGACACUGAGGCGCGAAAGCGUGGGGAGCAAACAGGAUUAGAUA
Molecule: ribosomal RNA, 261 nt
Filed under: uncultured prokaryote
Description: partial 16S ribosomal RNA
Rfam family: Bacterial small subunit ribosomal RNA
Source: RNAcentral